This 354-nucleotide ribosomal RNA is filed under the name uncultured soil bacterium. RNAcentral describes it as "bacterial SSU rRNA". It matches the Rfam family "Bacterial small subunit ribosomal RNA", at positions 26 to 380 of the family's 1533-position model. The record is from RNAcentral.
AGAUUGAACGCUGGCGGCAGGCCUAACACAUGCAAGUCGAGCGGUAGAGAGGUGCUUGCAUCUCUUGAGAGCGGCGGACGGGUGAGUAAUGCCUAGGAAUCUGCCUAGUGGUGGGGGAUAACGUUCGGAAACGGACGCUAAUACCGCAUACGUCCUACGGGAGAAAGCGGGGGACCUUCGGGCCUCGCGCCAUUAGAUGAGCCUAGGUCGGAUUAGCUAGUUGGUGAGGUAAUGGCUCACCAAGGCGACGAUCCGUAACUGGUCUGAGAGGAUGAUCAGUCACACUGGAACUGAGACACGGUCCAGACUCCUACGGGAGCAGCAGGUGGGGAAAUAGUUGGACAAGUGGGGACG